GUAAACUUUGAUAGUAAAAUACAAUUACUACCCGCCAGAGUACUACAAGCGAAUAGCUCGAAACCCAACGGACUUGGCGGUGCCCCAGACCCACCUAGAGGAGCCUGUUCUAUAACUGACACCCCCCGUUAAACCUCACCACUCCUAGCCAACCCAGUGUAUAUACCACCGUCGCACGCUCACCCUAUGAAGGUCUAAUAGUAUGCAAAAUGAUUAAAACUCAGCACGUCAGGUCGAGGUGUAGCGAAUGGAGCGGGAAGAAAUGGGCUACAUUUUCUAACACAGAAAACACGGAUAAUUCUAUGAAACUAGAAUUUCANGGGGGAUUUAGCAGUAAAAAGAAAAUAGAGUGUUCUAUUGAAACCG
This 366-nucleotide ribosomal RNA is filed under the name Pantodon buchholzi (freshwater butterflyfish). RNAcentral's name for it is "partial 12S rRNA". It matches the Rfam family "Bacterial small subunit ribosomal RNA", at positions 801 to 1370 of the family's 1533-position model. Lineage: Eukaryota; Metazoa; Chordata; Actinopteri; Osteoglossiformes; Pantodontidae. The record is from RNAcentral.